RNAcentral lists this ribosomal RNA (422 nucleotides) under uncultured bacterium. RNAcentral describes it as "SSU rRNA". It matches the Rfam family "Bacterial small subunit ribosomal RNA", at positions 370 to 808 of the family's 1533-position model. The record is from RNAcentral.
CAUGGAGGAACUCUGAUGCAGCGACGCCGCGUGAGUGAAGAAGUAUUUCCCCUAUGUAAAGCUCUAUCAGCAGGGNAAGAUAAUGACGGUACCUGACUAAGAAGCACCGGCUAAAUACGUGCCAGCAGCCGCGGUAAUACGUAUGGUGCAAGCGUUAUCCGGAUUUACUGGGUGUAAAGGGUGCGUAGGUGGCAAGGCAAGUCUGAAGUGAAAAUCCGGGGCUCAACCCCGGAACUGCUUUGGAAACUGUUUAGCUAGAGUACAGGAGAGGUAAGUGGAAUUCCUAGUGUAGCGGUGAAAUGCGUAGAUAUUAGGAGGAACACCAGUGGCGAAGGCGACUUACUGGACUGCUACUGACACUGAGGCACGAAAGCGUGGGGAGCAAACAGGAUUAGAUACCCUGGUAGUCCAAGGGCGAAUUC